RNAcentral lists this ribosomal RNA (497 nucleotides) under uncultured bacterium. RNAcentral's name for it is "partial 16S ribosomal RNA". It matches the Rfam family "Bacterial small subunit ribosomal RNA", at positions 28 to 507 of the family's 1533-position model. The record is from RNAcentral.
GAUGAACGCUGGCGGCGUGCCUAAUACAUGCAAGUCGAGCGAACAGACGAGGAGCUUGCUCCUCUGACGUUAGCGGCGGACGGGUGAGUAACACGUGGAUAACCUACCUAUAAGACUGGGAUAACUUCGGGAAACCGGAGCUAAUACCGGAUAAUAUAUUGAACCGCAUGGUUCAAUAGUGAAAGACGGUUUUGCUGUCACUUAUAGAUGGAUCCGCGCCGCAUUAGCUAGUUGGUAAGGUAACGGCUUACCAAGGCGACGAUGCGUAGCCGACCUGAGAGGGUGAUCGGCCACACUGGAACUGAGACACGGUCCAGACUCCUACGGGAGGCAUCAGUAGGGAAUCUUCCGCAAUGGGCGAAAGCUUGACGGAGCAACGCCGCGUGAGUGAUGAAGGUCUUCGGAUCGUAAAACUCUGUUAUUAGGGAAGAACAAAUGUGUAAGUAACUAUGCACGUCUUGACGGUACCUAAUCAGAAAGCCACGGCUAACUACGUG